GUCCACGCCGUAAACGAUGAGUGCUAAGUGUUGGAGGGUUUCCGCCCUUCAGUGCUGCAGCUAACGCAUUAAGCACUCCGCCUGGGGAGUACGACCGCAAGGUUGAAACUCAAAGGAAUUGACGGGGGCCCGCACAAGCGGUGGAGCAUGUGGUUUAAUUCGAAGCAACGCGAAGAACCUUACCAGGUCUUGACAUCCUUUGACCACUCUAGAGAUAGAGCUUCCCCUUCGGGGGCAAAGUGACAGGUGGUGCAUGGUUGUCGUCAGCUCGUGUCGUGAGAUGUUGGGUUAAGUCCCGCAACGAGCGCAACCCUUAUUGUUAGUUGCCAUCAUUCAGUUGGGCACUCUAGCAAGACUGCCGGUGACAAACCGGAGGAAGGUGGGGAUGACGUCAAAUCAUCAUGCCCCUUAUGACCUGGGCUACACACGUGCUACAAUGGGAAGUACAACGAGUUGCGAAGUCGCGAGGCUAAGCUAAUCUCUUAAAGCUUCUCUCAGUUCGGAUUGCAGGCUGCAACUCGCCUGCAUGAAGCCGGAAUCGCUAGUAAUCGCGGAUCAGCACGCCGCGGUGAAUACGUUCCCGGGCCUUGUACACACCGCCCGUCACACCACGAGAGUUUGUAACACCCGAAGUCGGUGAGGUAACCUUUUUGGAGCCAGCCGCCUAAGGUGGGAUAGAUGAUUGGGGUGAAGUCGUAACAAGGUAGCCGUAUCGGAAGGUGCGGCUG
This 728-nucleotide ribosomal RNA is filed under the name Enterococcus faecium. Its description in RNAcentral is "bacterial SSU rRNA". It matches the Rfam family "Bacterial small subunit ribosomal RNA", at positions 793 to 1520 of the family's 1533-position model. The record is from RNAcentral. Lineage: Bacteria; Bacillati; Bacillota; Bacilli; Lactobacillales; Enterococcaceae.